AUGCUUGCUUUGUAGCACAUAUGCUAAAUUGUGAAUGAUACAGAGAAGAUUAGCAUGACUCCAAUGCAAGAAUGACAUGCAAAUUGUGAAGUGUUCCAUAUUUUU
Molecule: small nuclear RNA, 105 nt
Organism: Vulpes vulpes (red fox)
Lineage: Eukaryota; Metazoa; Chordata; Mammalia; Carnivora; Canidae
Source: Ensembl